Molecule: long non-coding RNA, 935 nt
Filed under: Homo sapiens (human)
Lineage: Eukaryota; Metazoa; Chordata; Mammalia; Primates; Hominidae
Description: Pvt1 oncogene
Rfam family: mir-1204 microRNA precursor family (bases 196-262)
Source: RNAcentral
GCCUUUUCCUGGUGGUUUGCAGGCAUGGAAGAUUCUUCUGUUCAUCUAAGCUCCUGACUUUAGGCCCUUCUAGAACAUUAGAGAGGAGAAGAAAUCACGUGCAAGGAUUUAGGGACAAGAGGAUGAGGAUUUAUUAGGAGAAAAACCUUCCCGGAAGCUGCAGAAGGACAAAUACAGAAUCCGUGUCUGGGAGAAACCUCGUGGCCUGGUCUCCAUUAUUUGAGAUGAGUUACAUCUUGGAGGUGAGGACGUGCCUCGUGGUCUAAAGCUUCGGCACAAGGGCCCAACUGGAAUUCCACUUACGGAGCUUUACAGAAAUUCCAUGCUGCCUUCAGCUUCCUUUGCCGCUCUGCAUCAUGUUGGCUGGAGUGCAGUGGCGUGAUCAUAGCUCACAACAGCCUCUGUCUGCCAGGCUCAAGGGAUACUCCUGCCUCAGCCUCCUGAGUAGCUGGGACUUGCAGAUUCUAUCGAGUCUCAUCUGGCAGCUUCAAGGAUCAUCCGCAUUCUUUCAUCUUCAUGGAAUGUCACUAGAUUGAGAUGAUUCUAAGGGUGAGGUCAAGCAUUUGGAGUUUGGAACUCUGCCUUUUGUAGAGAUGCUCCCGUGGGACUUGCCCUGCACCCAGUUCAGCUUGCUUGGGAUGCAUCUGCUGAGCCUGGAAGAGAAGUAUGGGUUCAAGGCCAGCGGUCCAGCACUCCCACAGACCUGAUCUGUAAUAGGGAAGGGUUGCCUCUGUGUGGGUUGGGAGUUUAAUCAGCAAGAGUGGAUUAGCAGCAGGCUCAUUCUGUUUACUCCAGUAGGUCACGGGGCCAAGGGCAAACAUACACCCCUCCCAGCCCAGAAACUGAUAGCUGCAAAGUUGCACACCCUUCUCCCCAAAUUGACAAAUAUGGUUUUCAUUGUUGGAGUAAUAAAUUAUGCUUUUUAAGGAUAAAAA